This 1242-nucleotide ribosomal RNA is filed under the name metagenome. Its description in RNAcentral is "bacterial LSU rRNA". It matches the Rfam family "Bacterial large subunit ribosomal RNA", at positions 1564 to 2815 of the family's 2925-position model. The record is from RNAcentral.
UGAAUACGAGAUGCUACGGCAUCGAAGCAGUCUAUGUCAUACUUCCAAGAAAAGCUUGCACUGUCAUAAACAAAUAAUGCCUGUACCAUAACCGACACAGGUGGGUAGGUAGAGUAUACUAAGGGGCGCGAGAUAACUCUCUCUAAGGAACUCGGCAAAAUGACUCCGUAACUUCGGGAGAAGGAGUGCCUUAUUUUAUAAGGUUGCAAUAACAAGAUCCAAGCAACUGUUUACCAAAAACACAGGUCUCCGCUAAGUCGUAAGACGAUGUAUGGGGGCUGACGCCUGCCCAGUGCCAGAAGGUUAAAGAAGUUGGUUAGCAUUAGCGAAGCUGAUAACUGAAGCCCUGGUGAACGGCGGCCGUAACUAUAACGGUCCUAAGGUAGCGAAAUUCCUUGUCGGGUAAGUUCCGACCCGCACGAAAGGCGUAAUGAUUUGGAUACUGUCUCGGAGAGGGGCUCGGUGAAAUAGACUUGUCUGUGAAGAUGCGGACUACCUGCACCAGGACAGAAAGACCCUAUGAAGCUUUACUGUAACUUGAGAUUGAAAUUGGACUUUAUUUGCGCAGUAUAGGUGGGAGACGUUGAAAAUAUUCUUGCGGGAAUAUUGGAGUCAUCAGUGAGAUACCACUCUUAUAAUGUUAGAUUUCUAACUUUGUAUCAUUAUCUGGUCAAAGAACAGUCUCAGGCGGGCAGUUUGACUGGGGCGGUCGCCUCCCAAACGGUAACGGAGGCGCACAAAGGUUUCCUCUGAACGUGUAGAAAUCGUAUCUAGAGUGUAAAGGCAUAAGGAAGCUUGACUGUGAGACCUACAAGUCGAGCAGGGACGAAAGUCGGUCUUAGUGAUCUGACGGUGCUGAGUGGAAAGGCCGUCACUCAACGGAUAAAAGUUACUCUAGGAUAACAGGCUGAUCUCCCCCAAGAGUUCACAUCGACGGGGAGGUUUGGCACCUCGAUGUCGGCUCAUCGCAUCCUGGGGCGGUAGUACGUCCCAAGGGUUGGGCUGUUCGCCCAUGAAAGCGGUACGCGAGCUGGGUUCAGAACGUCGUGAGACAGUUCGGUCCAUAUCCGGUGUAGGCGUUAGAAUAUUGAGAGGAGCCUUCUUUAGUACGAGAGGACCGAGAAGGACAUACCUCUGGUGUACCAGUUAUCGUGCCAACGGUAAACGCUGGGUAGCUAUGUAUGGAGAGGAUAACCGCUGAAAGCAUCUAAGUGGGAAGCCCACCUCAAGAUAAGUAUUCUC